This 481-nucleotide ribosomal RNA is filed under the name Streptococcus mitis. Its description in RNAcentral is "bacterial SSU rRNA". It matches the Rfam family "Bacterial small subunit ribosomal RNA", at positions 28 to 494 of the family's 1533-position model. Lineage: Bacteria; Bacillati; Bacillota; Bacilli; Lactobacillales; Streptococcaceae. The record is from RNAcentral.
GACGAACGCUGGCGGCGUGCCUAAUACAUGCAAGUAGAACGCUGAAGGAGGAGCUUGCUCUUUCCGGAUGAGUUGCGAACGGGUGAGUAACGCGUAGGUAACCUGCCUGGUAGCGGGGGAUAACUAUUGGAGACGAUAGCUAAUACCGCAUAAUAGCAGUUAUUGCAUGAUAACUGUUUGAAAGGUGCAAAUGCACCACUACCAGAUGGACCUGCGUUGUAUUAGCUAGUUGGUGAGGUAACGGCUCACCAAGGCGACGAUACAUAGCCGACCUGAGAGGGUGAUCGGCCACACUGGGACUGAGACACGGCCCAGACUCCUACGGGAGGCAGCAGUAGGGAAUCUUCGGCAAUAGACGGAAGUCUGACCGAGCAACGCCGCGUGAGUGAAGAAGGUUUUCGGAUCGUAAAGCUCUGUUGUAAGAGAAGAACGAGUGUGAGAGUGGAAAGUUCACACUGUGACGGAUCUACCUAAAGGCGCA